ACCCGCAGUGCUUUUUACGUGUGUAACAGUGAGCAAUUGACGGAAAUAAAAUACGGAUUCGACGCCCCUCACCCCCGAGCGACACGCCCUUCUUUUCGCAGCGACUCUUCCAAAAAAAUCCCCUUUCAUCUCCCCACCGCUGCCCGUCCCCAUCUGCCGUCUCCCUCUUGCCCCUCGGCGACACCGGCCGGCGGCGGCGACGGACGGCAUGGAUCCAGAGUUGUGCCCCUGGUUAUCCCCAUCUCUCGCACCCGAUGAAGGCCUCCCCACAGGCGCUACAACACGAACUCCCCCUCAUGGCGGCGACGCCGCGGCAGUGCGGCGGCCGAUUGGCGCAGGUACCGGUUCUAGGACGAGAUGGGGCCGCCGACCUCGAACUUACAAUCCUUGGCGGCGCCAGCCCAUCCCCUAAGCGCCAAGCACUGAGAGGACGUGCUCUUAUUCGGCGACAAUAUGGCUACUAUAGCGGCGUGCACAUCCAGGCAUGCCAUAUCCUUUCUCUGCUUGGACCCCUCUGUUUGAUUGACCAAGUAGGAAAACAAUUGGCCACCAGAAAUCAUGCGGACACCAAACCUCCCCUGAUUUCUGAAGGAGCAGCUUCAGCGAUGUAAACUGGUGCUGAUACUAUUCCACACCCAAAUCCAACAAAGAGCCUUCCAUGAAUCAAAACAUAACCUGCAGCAGCUCACAUAACCAGUAAACCAAGUGCGAACAUCAUGUCAGCAAGAAGAGUAGACUUUCAUACGACCGUAGGCAUGGCUUACGUAAUGACAUUCUAACAAUGGUUUACUGAAGAAGAAACAAACUUAGUAUCUAUGGACGAACACCAUCUGUUAAUGACCAGUAGUCGGUUGUUUAGAUUGAACGUGCAAGAAUAGAUUGUCUUUGACAGCAGGAAAUUCGUCCCAAAUAUACAGAAGGGCUCAUGAUAUGACACGUGGCAGUAGUUAUGCAUAAAAAUUGUACUGUUAUUUGACUUAUUUCAGGAAAGUAUCACAAGUUCCUAGGUGUGCAGCAAUCGCAGAAGCAGUGGAGAACAAGAUCCUUCAUAGCUUCUUGGAGAAGGAGGAUUUCGGAGAGCAUGUACAACCAGAUGGCAAAGUCGAUGUUAUCAUUCACUGACUGCCGCCUUCAUAGGAAAAUCAACGAGCAUGUUGCUGCAGCUUAAAGCCUUAAAUACUUCUGCUCCUAGCUAGCUAUAAAAUUAGAGCAGAUACAUGUAUAGGUAUAGUAGCAUCUGUUGCUUUAAGUUAAAAGUCUAAAGUUAUUUUAAUCUUGCUUGCACAUUAUUAGAAGGUAGUUGGAAAAGGCAUAUGUCAUUAUUUUUAGGAGUUGAGAAACUACUUGUCUUCCUAUCAUGGCUGCAAGCUGAAUGUAAGAAACUAGCAAUAGAUUGAAAUUUGCGAGAGCAGAUGCAUUGUUUGGUGUA
This is a long non-coding RNA of Triticum aestivum (bread wheat), 1429 nucleotides long. RefSeq lists it as uncharacterized. The record is from RefSeq and is a predicted model, not a curated record. The transcript has 2 exons. Lineage: Eukaryota; Viridiplantae; Streptophyta; Magnoliopsida; Poales; Poaceae.